GCUCUUCCUCUGUCUUUGAAUAAAAUGGCGACACAUGGACCUGUCUUGGAGCAUCAUAAUGCACAGGAGAAGCUAGGGACCAGCAGCAUAAGUUUCAGAAUCCACAGCAAACGUACACUAAUAAAAACAAUGGCAGCAUAGCGAAGUGGAAUUAUUCCUGAUAUGAUUGAUUGAGGUGUAUGUUGAUGAACAUCAACUCGAUCUUCCCCAAACAUCAUAGCUCAGUGUCAGGUAAUAAUUUCUUCCUAGUUUGAACUUU
Musa acuminata subsp. malaccensis (wild Malaysian banana) is the source of this 259-nucleotide non-coding RNA. The record is from RefSeq and is a predicted model, not a curated record. Lineage: Eukaryota; Viridiplantae; Streptophyta; Magnoliopsida; Zingiberales; Musaceae.